GGGGAAUAUUGGGCAAUGGGCGCAAGCCUGACCCAGCAACGCCGCGUGAAGGAAGAAGGCUUUCGGGUUGUAAACUUCUUUUAUGAGGGACGAAAAAAAUGACGGUACCUCAUGAAUAAGCCACGGCUAACUACGUGCCAGCAGCCGCGGUAAUACGUAGGUGGCAAGCGUUAUCCGGAUUUACUGGGCGUAAAGGGUGCGUAGGCGGCCUUGUAAGUCAGAUGUGAAAGGCUACGGCUCAACCGUAGUAAGCAUUUGAAACUGCAGGGCUUGAGUGCAGGAGAGGAGAGUGGAAUUCCUAGUGUAGCGGUGAAAUGCGUAGAUAUUAGGAGGAACACCAGUGGCGAAGGCGACUCUCUGGACUGUAACUGACGCUGAGGCACGAAAGCGUGGGGAGCAAACA
Molecule: ribosomal RNA, 403 nt
Filed under: uncultured Eubacteriales bacterium
Lineage: Bacteria; Bacillati; Bacillota; Clostridia; Eubacteriales
Description: bacterial SSU rRNA
Rfam family: Bacterial small subunit ribosomal RNA
Source: RNAcentral